AUCCAGCUGACGAAUCCGAAAUAAGACGAAACGCUUGUCAAACUGGAU
Schistosoma margrebowiei is the source of this 48-nucleotide non-coding RNA. Lineage: Eukaryota; Metazoa; Platyhelminthes; Trematoda; Strigeidida; Schistosomatidae. The record is from Rfam.